AAGUCGUAACAAGGUUUCCGUAGGUGAACGUGCGGAAGGAUCAUUAACACGUAUCCACGUAUCAACCAAUGAGAACCGUUUUCCCGUCUCCCUGUGCAAAGAAUGAAUUGGAACCAGUUUGAGGGAGUGAUGGGACCGAAAGGUCGGCCUUCCUGGUAUACUUAUGUAAAUAGAAAUGUUUGCAUAGACAAUUGUAUUUUUGUUACAGGCUAUUUCUUAUCGCUUUGAUCCCCAUCAUGAUCGUGGCGGUAGGGAAACUUUCACUUUAUUUACCUUUUUUGCUAGUUGACUUUUUAUAUGUGUUGUCUUGCGAAAGCAUGGUGGCACACGUUUAUUAAUUGAACGUUAAAAAAUACAACUCUUAGCAAUGGAUAUCUUGGUUCUC
RNAcentral lists this unclassified non-coding RNA (385 nucleotides) under fungal sp. RNAcentral's name for it is "partial internal transcribed spacer region". The stretch from base 1 to 46 matches the Rfam family "Eukaryotic small subunit ribosomal RNA", at positions 1786 to 1831 of the family's 1831-position model. The record is from RNAcentral. Lineage: Eukaryota; Fungi.